UCGACACGGCCGCACGAAUCUCCUGCA
RNAcentral lists this small RNA (27 nucleotides) under Bombyx mori (domestic silkworm). RNAcentral's name for it is "ovarian small RNA-28278". Lineage: Eukaryota; Metazoa; Arthropoda; Insecta; Lepidoptera; Bombycidae. The record is from RNAcentral.